This 135-nucleotide small nucleolar RNA is filed under the name Echinops telfairi (small Madagascar hedgehog). The record is from RNAcentral. Lineage: Eukaryota; Metazoa; Chordata; Mammalia; Afrosoricida; Tenrecidae.
GUGACUGAUCCUGGUAUUGAUUGCCUUGUCAGUUGUACAGUGCAACUGUGCUGAGCCACUCACAUUGAAACAUGUGGUUCCUGCCGACAGAGUCUGUGUAGUGAUCAGAUUUUCUGUGUGAUGGUUCCACACAUA